GGGAAUCAACGUCAAUAUCGUCAACCUGAUCAGGAAGUAUAGUUGCUUGUCUAGGCUGUAUGUCUUGCGCCGGUAAGUUUGCAUUCCGUUUGCUUCGCAUAAGUAAUCGUCGGUUCUGUCGAGCUAGCCUCGCAUUAUUCACUGGGGAAAGAUAAAAACUUGGAAACUGAGUUUCAAAUGUUCGUGUCCUUCUUAAAAAGCAUCGCAGCAGAUCGUUGUUUACCAGUCGAUAGAUGAACGUCUGAUCUGAAGCUGAGCAUGCUGGCAGGUGCGAUAGGAAUAUAUUGAGAUUGUAGCCAAGGACGGCGCUGAUCCGAUACUGGUGGAAGUUAGAGUACAGGUCAGUUUGUAGUAAAAGCAUUGGAAGAUAUGGAAAAUGAUGGCAUAGCUACGACUAACCAUUUUUCUUUUUUCGGCUUCUCUUUGUUGCAGAGGAUGACUCUGCUGUGGAUAUUGUAGAUAAUACAUGUCUUCUCCGUGAACUAACUUCACUUGCUUUGCGUGCAAGUUCUUCUGGAGUCUUCACCAUUUCUCGAAGUCCAGAUGAUAGAGAGCCAGAAUGAUGGUCACAAUUACAUUCGUAAAGUAAAAACGAAGGGGUCUAUGAGUAACGGCUGCGUGGUUUCAGUUUGAGCGUAUGUGUAAAGACUAAUAUGGGAGGUGGAUAGACACAAUGAAUAUGUUGCAGUUAUAUUAAAGUUGCUGGAAAGAGUCAUCGACGCCUGAGAAAUAGAUCUAAGCAUACUGUGCCUGUGUCGACUGCUAUCACUACAAAUCAGUCUACUUCUUUUGUUUGCUAUUGAACGUUUUGUCAAUUUAUUCAUAGUCUGAGAAUUUCAAAUUUAGACUGCGAUCACUACAAAUCAGUCUACAUCUUUUGUUUGCUAUUGAACGUUUUAUCAAUUUAUUCAUAGUCUG
RNAcentral lists this long non-coding RNA (918 nucleotides) under Brassica rapa (field mustard). Its description in RNAcentral is "long non-coding RNA (BRAP_LNC004579)". Lineage: Eukaryota; Viridiplantae; Streptophyta; Magnoliopsida; Brassicales; Brassicaceae. The record is from RNAcentral.